CAAUAUGGAAAGUCAACUACCUUCUUUCUGGAAAUAUAUAAUCGGGAAGUAUACUGCAUGGGCAGUUUAGCCACAGAUUGAAGGGCAAAACAUAAUCUAUUUAAACGUGGACUUAUUUAGGAGUUAGUCCCAAGAGCAUAGUUGGAUCUCACACUGAUAUAUGCACUGGCAACAUAUCUCCGGGAAAAUUAAGAUUCAUUCAGAUUGUUUGGGGACAAAAUAAAUGAAAAUCUUAUUGAGAAAUCAUAUUUUACAAUUAUUAUAACCAUGGACAAGCUUGGUGCACCAGGCAGCUGUGACCUUUAAAGCUUCAUAGAAAAUGGAACUGUUCUUAUUUGUAGAAUAGCAGUACAUUCCACAGCUCUGUAUCGAUUACUGUAUUAUUGUGCCACAAUAAGCUAUGUUACAACUAGAACAGUACAAGGAGUUACCAUAAGGUGGAGUUUACAUUCUAAAUAAAUAUGUUGCUUUGAAUGGUCUACCAAAAUGCAAAAUAUAAGAUAAAACAGCGGGCUUUGAACAUUAUCUUCAGCUCACCGCAACACACUAUUUAGAGAAUGAAUCCUAUAGAUUUAGGAUAGUUAGUGGAAAACUUAUUUCAUGUCCAUUCUGCACUUAAAUGUCUUUUCAAAGGCACUAUGACC
Molecule: non-coding RNA, 644 nt
Organism: Pelobates cultripes (western spadefoot toad)
Lineage: Eukaryota; Metazoa; Chordata; Amphibia; Anura; Pelobatidae
Source: the annotation of a GenBank genome assembly